UACGGAGGAUCCGAGCGUUAUCCGGAUUUAUUGGGUUUAAAGGGAGCGUAGGCGGAAAGUCAAGUCAGCUGUGAAAUGUAGGCGCUCAACGCCUGCACUACAGUUGAAACUGAUUUUCUUGAGUGCGUAAGAGACAGACGGAAUUCGUCGUGUAGCAAUGAAAUGCUUAGAUAUGACGAAGAACUCCGAUUGCGAAGGCAGCUUGCUGGUCCGCCACUGACGCUGGAGCUCGAAGGUGCGGGUAUCGAAC
RNAcentral lists this ribosomal RNA (250 nucleotides) under uncultured prokaryote. RNAcentral's name for it is "partial 16S ribosomal RNA". It matches the Rfam family "Bacterial small subunit ribosomal RNA", at positions 524 to 773 of the family's 1533-position model. The record is from RNAcentral.